AAGAGAAGCGACCACGCGAGUGUGAGCGAAUCUCAAAAAUAACGUCUCAGUUCGGAUUGUAGUCUGCAACUCGACUACAUGAAGCUGGAAUCGCUAGUAAUCGCGGAUCAGAAUGCCGCGGUGAAUACGUUCCCGGGUCUUGUACACACCGCCCGUCACACCAUGGGAGUCAGUAACGCCCGAAGCCGGUGACCCAACCUAACAAGGAGGGAGCCGUCGAAGGCGGGACGGAUGACUGGGGUGAAGUCGUAACAAGGUAAC
This 261-nucleotide ribosomal RNA is filed under the name uncultured bacterium. RNAcentral describes it as "partial 16S ribosomal RNA". It matches the Rfam family "Bacterial small subunit ribosomal RNA", at positions 1242 to 1500 of the family's 1533-position model. The record is from RNAcentral.